UACGUAGGGUGCGAGCGUUGUCCGGAAUUAUUGGGCGUAAAGAGCUCGUAGGCGGCUUGUCGCGUCGGAUGUGAAAGCCCGGGGCUUAACUCCGGGUCUGCAUUCGAUACGGGCAGGCUAGAGUUCGGUAGGGGAGAUCGGAAUUCCUGGUGUAGCGGUGAAAUGCGCAGAUAUCAGGAGGAACACCCGUAGCGAAGGCGGCACUCUGGGCCGAUACUGACACUGAGGAGCGAAAGCGUGGGGAGCGAACAGG
Molecule: ribosomal RNA, 253 nt
Filed under: uncultured bacterium
Lineage: Bacteria
Description: partial 16S ribosomal RNA
Rfam family: Bacterial small subunit ribosomal RNA
Source: RNAcentral